CACGUAGGCGGGACAAUCAGUUUGAGGUGAAAACUUGCGGCUUAACCGUAAGCCUGCCUUGAAUACUGUUGUUCUUGAGUUCGGAAGAGGGAAGUGGAAUUCCUGGUGUAGCGGUGAAAUGCGUAGAUAUCAGGAAGAACACCGGUGGCGAAGGCGGCUUCCUGGUCCGAUACUGACGCUGAUGUGCGAAAGCGUGGGGAGCGAACAGGAUUAGAUACCCUGGUAGUCC
Molecule: ribosomal RNA, 229 nt
Filed under: uncultured bacterium
Lineage: Bacteria
Description: partial 16S ribosomal RNA
Rfam family: Bacterial small subunit ribosomal RNA
Source: RNAcentral